Molecule: ribosomal RNA, 305 nt
Filed under: uncultured bacterium
Lineage: Bacteria
Description: bacterial SSU rRNA
Rfam family: Bacterial small subunit ribosomal RNA
Source: RNAcentral
GCCCUACGGGAGGCAGCAGUGAGGAAUAUUGGUCAAUGGGCGCGAGCCUGAACCAGCCAAGUCGCGUGAGGGAAGAAGGUCCUAUGGAUUGUAAACCUCUUUUGUCGGGGAGCAAAAGACGCCACGCGUGGCGUUCCGAGAGUACCCGAAGAAAAAGCAUCGGCUAACUCCGUGCCAGCAGCCGCGGUAAUACGGAGGAUGCGAGCGGUAUCCGGAUUUACUGGGUUUAAAGGGAGCGCAGGCGGAAGAUCAAGUCAGCGGUAAAAUUGAGAGGCUCAGACUCUUCGAGCCGUUGAAACUGGUUU